AGCAUCUUGGCGCAGAGGAAGCGCGCCGGGCUCAUAACCCGGAGGUCGAAUGAUCGAAACGUUCAGUUGCUA
This 72-nucleotide transfer RNA is filed under the name Sodiomyces alkalinus F11. It matches the Rfam family "tRNA". From Rfam's summary of the family: Transfer RNA (tRNA) molecules are approximately 80 nucleotides in length. Their secondary structure includes four short double-helical elements and three loops (D, anti-codon, and T loops). Lineage: Eukaryota; Fungi; Ascomycota; Sordariomycetes; Glomerellales; Plectosphaerellaceae. The record is from Rfam by way of RNAcentral.